Molecule: unclassified non-coding RNA, 33 nt
Filed under: Sorangium cellulosum So ce56
Lineage: Bacteria; Pseudomonadati; Myxococcota; Polyangiales; Polyangiaceae
Description: sce_Cardiovirus_CRE_27
Source: RNAcentral
AGACGCUCAGGCGACCCCGCGCAAAAUUACCAA